AGCGAACGCUGGCGGCAUGCCUAACACAUGCAAGUCGCACGGGGGGGCUUCGGCCUCCCAGUGGCGGACGGGUGAGGAACGCGUAGGGACCUGUCGAGGGGUGGGGGAUAACCGCGGGAAACUGCGGCUAAUACCGCAUGACGCCGCGGCGUGACAGCCGGGGCCAAAGGCGAAAGCCGCCCGCCGAGGGGCCUGCGUCCGAUUAGCUGGUUGGCGGGGUAGCGGCCCACCAAGGCGUCGAUCGGUAGCUGGUCUGAGAGGGUGAUCAGCCACACCGGGAAUGAGACACGGCCCGGACUACUACGGGAGGCAGCAGUGGGGAAUAUUGGAAGAUGAGCGCAAGCCUGAUACAGCAAUGCCGCGUGGGUGAAGAAGGUCCUCGGAUUGUAAAGACCUUUCGGCGGGGACGAUGGUGACGGUACCCGCAGAAGAAGCCCCGGCUAACUUCGUG
Molecule: ribosomal RNA, 451 nt
Filed under: uncultured bacterium
Lineage: Bacteria
Description: partial 16S ribosomal RNA
Rfam family: Bacterial small subunit ribosomal RNA
Source: RNAcentral